Molecule: long non-coding RNA, 1024 nt
Filed under: Oryza sativa aus subgroup
Lineage: Eukaryota; Viridiplantae; Streptophyta; Magnoliopsida; Poales; Poaceae
Description: lncRNA OsNaBo_04g0010490
Source: RNAcentral
CUACCAGUAUCGUUCGCAGCGACUCCGCCGCCGCAGCUUCUAGGGUCUCGAUUCCCCAUCUGCUCCCGCGGCUUCCUUGGCAUCUCCGCCGUCGUCGCUCCCCCGUGGGUUUUCACUGCUCGCCUUUCCCCUCACCAGAUCGACAUAUCCCUUUCACCCUCGCAGAAAUUGUCGCCGUCGUUUCUUCCUAGGUUGUUAUUGUCUCUCUAUCCCAUCGAGCUGAAAUCACUGCAAUCGUUGAUUCCACUGCGGUCGUCCUCAGCCAUCGGCCCGCCGUUCUAUCAACAGCUGCCGGCGUCCGUGUCCAUCGGCCGGGCGCACCGUCCCCAACGGAAUCGACGGCCGCCCGCGGCUGCAGGUGCUCCCUCCCCUUCACCGAUAGAUGUUGGAUGCAGUAGUGACGCCUGCAUAUCAUCAGAUGGCACACCGCCAUUUGACAACAACAGCUUCCCUUUAGGCUUUCUUUCAGUUCAUGCGCGUUUGGUGCAGCGCCGUCCAUCUGUCCAAGCUGCCGCACUAUGUCGAGUCUUGCUUCCUCUCAGCAAGAGUAUACGGUGCAGAACAUCGAUGAUUGCUUUCCUACAAGUUUCCAUUUGCCAUCUACAUGUUCUGUUCGACGACAUUUGUCUAUUCAACCUCCUGAGCUACAGGAGCUCCAUAGUGCACCUGUUACUUGACGAUGCCGGAAGCGUUCGCUGCUGGCUACCAACAGUGACUUUCCCACCGAUUUCCAGCACUCAUCUGCCUGUCGUGUGCACGCUCGCCUAUUACGGCAGCCUCAUGGCCUGUGCUGGAACAUUCCUUCAUCCUUUUUCAUCAAGCUGGAAUAUUGGUUCAAAGAAGAACAAGAUACCAGAUUGACUGCUGCAUUGUGCCCAUGCGAUGAAUUGUACUCGCUGGCCGUUUAGAUCAAGCAGUACGUGUGCCUAUUUAAACUAUCAUGCUGUUUUGGUGUCCUUUGUAUUUUUAUUGGGUUCAUACAAUAGUCACUAUUUAAGUUGCAACUCUGGAGGUCCGAAGAGUU